GCCUGUGAAUGCCAGUAAGUGUUCUUCAGUGGCUUCCUCUGUGCCAGGCACUAUGCUAAGCAGUGGAGAUACAAAGGCAAAAAUAGCUCAGGCCCUGGAGGAACUGACAUUCUAAUGGGAGAAGCCAUCCCAAUGGAGAUGUUCUGAAGGCAGAAGAGACAAGAUCUGGCAACAGAUGGACUAGGUGGCCGGGUUCAAGUGAAGGGAGAAACAGGGAGAAACUGGAUGACUAGAGAGAUGGCAGUGCCCUCAACAGGGCAGCAAGAUGAUGAGUUUAGUCUAGGAUCCAUUGACUGUGAGAUGCCUGGGGAAUGGGGCAUAAAUCCUAGAUGGGCUCAGAACCUCAGAAUCAUCUUCACAAAGAUGGUUGGUCAACCCAUGGGAGCUGGUGAGGCAGGAGAGAGGGAGAAGAGACGAGGGCCUGGCCCAGAGCCUUGGGGGAUACCCCACAGUUAGCAGACACGUCUUGAAUGAAGAAUGAAGGAAGGAGAUGAAGAAGGAGCUGUCGGAGGGUAAGACUGUCCCAAAGAGCUGCCCAUAGGGAAUCCUUAAUAAAAGUGGACUUUAAAGCACUAUAAACCACCAGCUCCCAUUUACUCUGCCUACCAGGGACCCCAGGGUCAGAAAGUCAGAGCCUUUAACCUUUCAUCUUUGGCUCUCUGGGUUUUCCAACUCUCCCUCAAAUAUUCAUUUACCCUUUAUUUUACCAGGAAAGGGCAGGCCAGCGGAUGCCCAAUGGUGAGUCAGGGAAUCCUCACAGUCCAUUGCAAAGAAAGAUGGGGGGCUGCCUUCUAGCAAGGCAGAGACGAGACACAAAGAACGGACCAAUUUCCCCCCUGGAAAAUGGCUUCUUUGCUUUGACGCUGAGAGGCUUGGAAUCAAGGAGUUGGGGACCCGAGAGAGAGACAGAGCUGUGUUCCUGGGCUUCAAGAAUUGUGUGUUCCCUGCCUCAUCUGACUCACUCGGGGAUUUGGGGCCCCUUCUUGGGCCUCUCAGUUCUACAUCUGGAAAACAAGCCCUCCCAGGGAGGUGCUGCCUGGAGAGAGAUCAUGUGUACAGCUGGAUAAAGAAACCCACUCCAUCAAGGAAGGGAUUAUUCUGAUGUAGACCUUGGAUGGCUGCCUCCUAUGGAAAACUGAGAUGGGACACUCGAGAAUGAUGAUAGACAUCACGGCAGUUGAGAAGAUUCUCCAAUCGGGGAGCCGAGGUAUCUGAAGGCAUGGCAGCAUGUAAGCUGGAGUCCCCAAGGUGGUGUGGAGAAGAGUACUCAAACCCUUGAGAAAGGCAUGAGAAUGACCUGGAGACCACCAAUGAAAUCAAGGAACCAGAACCAGGAUGGAGCCUCAAAGGAAGAGAGGCGAUUAGAUGCUCCUGGUAUAGAAGAAUCUGGAGAAAGCAGUGAGAACCAAGAAGGAUGCCUAAACCCACAGGUCAGUAAGGAAAUACAUAUACAUCCCACUCUAGAGAUCGGAGGGCCAUCUAAGUGGAUAGAGUACUGAGCCUGGAGUUAGGAAGACUGAUCUUCCUGGGUUCCAACCUGGCCUCAGACACACUAGCUGUGGAACCGUGGGCAAGUCACUUAACUCUGUUUGCCUCAGUUACUUCAUCUGUAAAAUGAGUGGCAAACCAUUCUCUUUGCUGAGCAAAUCCAGAUGAGGUCAUGAAGAGUUGGGCAUGACUGAAAAGAGACUGAGCUAGAACUGGAGAGGGGAAGUGAGGGAUGGAGGGACUUCUGGCAAAGGCAGGUUUCUGUGACUAUAAGGGGAUGGAAGGAGCUCAGGAGGAAGAGGUCUAAUGGGAAGGGUGGUUGGGUAACAAUAGAUUUGGGUCUCCACAAGGCAGUGGAAGAAACAGUAAAGGCUCCCGGGGAGCGGUGGCCCAGGGGAUAGACCCUCAGAGGUAUAAAAACCACAAGCCUCUGGCUUGUGCUCCAGGGAGCUGACAUGAAAAACACUCUCCUAGGCAAGGGAGAAGCAUCUUCGCAGCCCAGCCAGGGGAAGUAUAAAUUAAUCUGCCCAACACAGCCAAGGGGUGUGAUUGGGUGAGUCCUGCCCAUGUCCAAGGCCAAGACUGCCAUGACCACAUUCCUAGGUGCUGGGGACACAAAGACAAAAAUGAAUCUGCCUCUGCUGACUCAGGGGCUUCCAUUCUAAUGUAAGGGGGAAGACCAAAUGCACAUGCAUGAGUAUAAAGUCAGAUCUGAGAGAAGACUUAGACACAGACCCGGACCUCAGAAGGACUUUAGGACGACUGUGUUUUGGGUUAGAAAGGAUUUGGAAAAGAUCUCCUCCAACCUACUUAUUUGAUACAUGAACAAACCGAAGGGCCGAGGGAUGUGGCCAAGAUUGCUCGGUAUGGACAGAUCGAGAUCAGAAUCAGGGCUCCUGCCCCUCCGUCCUGUGCUAUUCCCAUGGAGCCUUCAUAAUCACUGAUGUUCAGGGGUCCAAGGCAGAAUUAGUAAAAGGAGGAUCUAGGCCCUAGACGGUGAUGGGCCCACUGGCCUAGACCCUGGCUAGAUGAUAUCUAGCAUUUCAUUUGAUUCUGGGCCCUGUUUUACAAGGGACACUGCCACGUUGAAUCCGUGUCCCUUCAUUGGGACUCCUAUGCCCUGACUCAUAGUAACUUUCCUUUGUGAAUCCUCCUCUCCUGCUAAACUGGACCAUGUCCCAAAUCCCUCUUGCUCUUUCUCCCCUCUGACCCUGGUAGCAAAGACCACUAAGGCCCCUUCCCUUCUAAAAUGAUGAUCCUUUCAUUGAGUCCUUAUCCCUUACCCCCACUGCCACCCCUAACAAAAGCUUCCCUUAGGACAGGAUCAGUUAUCUGGAGCUGAAAGGCCAUUGUAUCCAACCCCACCAUCUUUUAAAAAAUUAUAUUUAAUUAGAUUCAAUGAAAAUCUACGUUUUCUAGCUCCCAUCAUCCUUCUCACCCUCACCCACUUUGAGAAAGAAAUGGAAGUGGGGAAUGCUGUUACAAAGAUAAAUUGUCAAGCAAAACAAAUUAUAGCAUUGUAAAUACAUAUCUCUCAGUUUUCCCUCUGAGUCCAUCGCCUCUUGAUUGGAAGGAUGACAUGUUUCACCAUGAGAUUUCUGGGACUGGGACUCGUCAUCCCAUUGAGUGGAACUCUGAAGUCUUUCAAGGUUAAUUUUCUUUAUGGUAUUGUGGUUAUAGUAUACAUUGUUCUGUCCAUUUGACUCACUCCAGCCUGCAUCAAGUCAUAUAAAGCUUCCUAGGCUUCUCUAAAACCAUCCCCUUUUGUCAUUAGUAUUCUAUUUCAUUCAUAUAACAUAUCUUGUUUAGCAAUGCCCCCGUUGAUGGGCAUCUCCAGGGUUUCUAGGCCUUUGCCUGUACAAAAAGAGCAAUUAUAAAUAUUUUUGUACAUGUGGAUCCUUUUGCCCAUUGUUUAAUCUCUUUAGGGUAUAGACCCAUGGUGAUGAUGAACCUAUGGCAUGAGGGCACUCGGAGCCCUCUCUGUGGGCACCCAUGCUGUCACUCUAGCACAGAGUUCACCAGAGUUCUUUACUAGAAAGUCAGAGGGACACUGGGCUGGGCUGUUCCCCUCCCUCUCUCCACAGGCACCUGAGGACAUUUCUCACAUCACCCAUUCCUCUAAAAGAUUCGCCAUCCAAUUUGGCACUAAAGGGCUGCCUGUCCUUUGAUCCAGCCAUAGCACUUCUGGGCUUGUACCCCAAAGAGAUAAUAAGGAAAAAGAAAUGUACAAGAAUAUUCAUAGCUGUGCUCUUUAUAGUGGCAAAAAAUUGGAAAAUGAGGGGAUGCCCUUCAAUUGGGGAAUGGCUGAACAAACUGUGGUAUAUGUUGGUGAUGGAAUACUAUUGUGCUCAAAGGAAUAAUAAAGUGGAGGAAUUCCACGUGAAUUGGAAGGACCUCCAGGAGUUGAUGCAGAGUGAAAGGAGCAGAACCAGAAGAAUGUUGUACACAGAGACUGAUACAUUGUAGCACAAUCCAAUGUAACUGGCUUUGCUAUUAGCAGCCAUGCAAUGACCCAGGACAAGCCUGAGGGACUUAUGAGAAAGAAGCUAUCCACAUCCAGAGAAAGAACUGUGGGAGUAGAAACACAGAAGAAAAACAACUGCUUGAUCACAUGGGUCAAAGGGUAUAUGAUUGGGGAUGUAGACUCUAAACAAUCACCCUGGUACAAACAUCAAUAAUAUGGAAAUAAGUCUUGAUCAAUGACACAUGUAAAACCCAGUGGAAUUGCUGGUUGGCUAUGGGAGGGGAAGGGAGGAUGGAAGGGAAAGAAGAUGAAUCAUGUAACCAUGGAAAAAUAGUCUAAAUCAAUUAAUUAAAUAAAAAUUUCCAGAUUAAAACAAAUAAAUAAAUAAACGAUUUGCCAUCACUGGGACAGACCCACAGUGGUAUUACUGAGUCAGAGGAUAUGCAGUUUAAUAGCCUUUUGAGCAUUGUUCCAAAUGCUCCUCAGAAUGGUUGGAUCAUCAGUUCAUGGUUCACAACAUUAAUGGGUCUCUCCAGCAUUUGCCAUUUUUCAUUUGUUCCCUCUCAUCUUUACAGGUAAGGAAACUGAGUCACGGAGAGCUUAAACAUCAUGUCUGCUGCUUCUGUAGAGGGGAUUUGAGUCACAAAGCCAUUCUGGUUUCCAGGGAUUCAUUUUGUUUUGUUUUGUUUUAACUCUUGCCUCUGACAAGAGGAUGGGAAAGUUUCAUCUCCUCGGGAAGGGCUUCUGGCAGCUGGCAGACGAGAAGGUUUAUUUGGGGAACAGGAGGACAGACUCUACUCCUGAAAUGCCUUUGCCUUGUAAGGCCAGCUUUGCUUGAGGCCCCUGCCCCACGCACCUGUUGUGGGUACUGGGGGGUGCCCUGGGGAUUGGAGAUGCAGGCUGGGGCCCCGCAGUACAGAAGUUCCCCUGACCUUUAGUCCACUCAGCUCUGGCCAGCCCCACUGCUCUGGAGUGGCCUGAAUAAUUUACAGUGUAACUCCAGAGAGAAACCCCAGCCUCCCACCCUUUCCGAAACUUAAAACUGGCACCUCCAGGGCCAGGAAGCCUUGCCCUGAGCACUCGGGCAGAGCCAGGGCAGAGGCUGAGCCGUCUUGUGAGACCUGAGGCAGGAAUGCAUUUCCCUGAGUAUGUGAGAGGCCUCACAGGCCCCGGGUUCCCUAGCUGGUCAAGGGUAAAUAUUCUAGGAAGAAAUCUCAAUCCUAUUCUAAGCCUCUCCCAGGUGGGGCCCCUUGGCUAGAAUCCACCCAGGCUGUCGCCAUAGCUGAACAGGGUUUCACUCCAUUUUCUCAGUGGACAAAGAGCCAGCUUUGAAGCCAGGGACACCAGCUUUGAGUCCUGUCCUUGACACAUGGGCGACCCCAGGCAGAUCCCUUACUCCCUUAGUGCUCUACGUAGCCAAGGCUUUGUGGGACAGCCUGUACAGGGAGAGGGAGUUUCCUCACUGGGAGUUCCCCAUAUCCCAUGAGGCAUCUCCAGAGCCACACUGUAGGGCCAGCCCUUCUCCCUGCUUUCUCUGUUAGCUGGGUUCUAGUGUGAGGAGCUCAAAGGCUGGAGACACCUUGGAGGUACGUGUGGCCAGCCUGCCCAUUCUACAGGCAAGGAAAUCCAGGACUAAAGAGUAACUUGCUCCAGGUUACAAAGGGAACAAGGGGCAGAGCUGGAAUUGGAAUCAGCAAAUGGCUUUCGUCUAGGUCCCUUUUGUCCAUAUCGCCCAUAGGAAAUGGGUGUAUACACCUACGCUCUUCCCUGGACCCCUUGUUUCCAGGUUCCCCUGGGGGGAAUCUUGACAAGCUCCCAGAGGUUCUAGUGCUCCUCUCCCCUAGAAUCUCCUUCCCCGAAUCAUUCACUACGCCCAGAUUUCUUCACCGAACUCCAGCGGCUUAUUGGGCAUGUCAAGAUCCAAACAGAACUCAGUCUGUUUCUCCCCCCCCCCCCCACACACACACACACUACUCCCUCUCCAGAUUUCUCUCUUUCAAAGGAGGGCUGCCCCAACUUCCUGGACUUCUAUGUCAUUCCUACCCCUGCUCCAUCCAUCACGUCCACAUUCAAUCAGGUGCCCUACCUGCUGGGCUAUAAUUCAUCCAUACUGCUACUACUACUGCUACUACUACUAGUACUACUAGUACUACUAGUACUAGUACUACUACUACUACUACCACUACUACUACUGCUACUGCUACUACUACAACUACUACUGCUACUACUACUAUUACUAGUACUACUGCUACUACUGCUAUUGCUAUUACUACUACUACUGCUACUACUACUACUGUUACUAUUGCUAUUGCUGCUACUACUACCACUACUACUACUACUACUACUGCUGCUGCUGCUGGGAGCUAUCAGGCCACGACACCUUGACGGAGUCACAUGUGGUAGCAGAGGAGACCACAGAGUGGUCCUUGGCGAGAUGUGAUUGUCCACCCAGUCCCCCCUUUACAUGACCUCUUUCAUCAAUGCCGCUUACCUAUGAAUUGACAUGAUAAUUAUUCCCCCUAGUCUCAGGGGAAGUAAUGCAAGAGCAAAACACCUGUACCCUAAUUCCCCAAAACAUCACCAAAAAGAUCAGACCCUCAAACCCAAUCCCAAAAAGACUAUCAUGGGUUAACUUUUAUUUAGGUACAUAAUUCCUAGCAAAAACUUCCCCACUCACGGAAACCUAUUCUCAUGAAGCCAGCACACAAAUCAAUCAUAGAAGCCCAUGCGAUAAGUACAUCAAGCUUCAGUAUGCCUCAGUGACUCGAUUACACAAAUCAGUAACUCAGAAACUCCCUAGUAAGAACCCUGAGAAAUGAGCAGUCUAAUAUUAAAUUUGAAUUGUGUUCCCAGUACCCCUCAACCUCAAUGAUACGAUUGUUGAAUUGCCUUUUAAGAAUUCUGAUUAAUUAUUCCAUUUUAUUAAAAGCAAUAAGUAAUUUUUCUUGAUUGUAAGCUUAAAACUUCUUACAGGGUAAUGAUAAAAAUUAAGCCAUCUGUGACAAAAUCAUUUAUCUUGUAUGCUGUCUGUAAUUACAAUAUAAGAAUAUAGAAUUUUAAUCAAGUCAUUUGUUAAAAAGUUAAUGUAUCACCUUUCCAAUUAUCUCUCUUUGAUUAUGUGUAUCUGCAUGCCAAGAAAAUGGGUAUAAAAAUAAAAACCAGGCAUGGGGUUGGUGGAGCAGCUAUCAGAUGCAAAGCAGUCCCAUGGCUGUAAUGAUUAAGCUGUC
Monodelphis domestica (gray short-tailed opossum) is the source of this 7179-nucleotide non-coding RNA. The record is from RefSeq and is a predicted model, not a curated record. NCBI's taxonomy places the organism in Eukaryota, Metazoa, Chordata, Mammalia, Didelphimorphia, Didelphidae.